AUUGAACGCUGGCGGCAGGCUUAACACAUGCAAGUCGAACGAUGAAACUCUAGCUUGCUAGAGAUGAUUAGUGGCGGACGGGUGAGUAACAUUUAGGAAUCUGCCUAGUAGUGGGGGAUAGCUCGGGGAAACUCGAAUUAAUACCGCAUACGACCUACGGGUGAAAGGGGGCGCAAGCUCUUGCUAUUAGAUGAGCCUAAAUCAGAUUAGCUAGUUGGUGGGGUAAAGGCCUACCAAGGCGACGAUCUGUAACUGGUCUGAGAGGAUGAUCAGUCACACCGGAACUGAGACACGGUCCGGACUCCUACGGGAGGCAGCAGUGGGGAAUAUUGGACAAUGGGGGCAACCCUGAUCCAGCCAUGCCGCGUGUGUGAAGAAGGCCUUGUGGUUGUAAAGCACUUUAAGCAGGGAGGAGAGGCUAAUGGUUAAUACCCAUUAGAUUAGACGUUACCUGCAGAAUAAGCACCGGCUAACUCUGUG
Molecule: ribosomal RNA, 480 nt
Filed under: uncultured bacterium
Lineage: Bacteria
Description: partial 16S ribosomal RNA
Rfam family: Bacterial small subunit ribosomal RNA
Source: RNAcentral